Molecule: ribosomal RNA, 746 nt
Filed under: cyanobacterium enrichment culture clone 1_RT_1.5.8_F12-T7
Lineage: Bacteria; Bacillati; Cyanobacteriota
Description: bacterial SSU rRNA
Rfam family: Bacterial small subunit ribosomal RNA
Source: RNAcentral
AGAGUUUGAUCCUGGCUCAGGAUGAACGCUGGCGGUCUGCUUAACACAUGCAAGUCGAACGGAGUACUUCGGUGCUUAGUGGCGGACGGGUGAGUAACGCGUGAGGAUCUGCCCUCAGGAGGGGGACAACGACUGGAAACGGUCGCUAAUACCCCAUAUGCCGAGAGGUGAAAUGUUUUUUCGCCUGAGGAUGAGCUCGCGUCAGAUUAGCUAGUUGGUGGGGUAACGGCCUACCAAGGCGACGAUCUGUAGCUGGUCUGAGAGGAUGAUCAGCCACACUGGGACUGAGACACGGCCCAGACUCCUACGGGAGGCAGCAGUGGGGAAUUUUCCGCAAUGGGCGAAAGCCUGACGGAGCAAGACCGCGUGAGGGAUGACGGCCUAAUGGUUGUAAACCUCUUUUCUCUGGGAAGAUAAUGACGGUACCAGAGGAAUAAGCCUCGGCUAACUCCGUGCCAGCAGCCGCGGUAAUACGGAGGAGGCAAGCGUUAUCCGGAAUUAUUGGGCGUAAAGCGUCCGUAGGUGGUUAAUCAAGUUAGCUGUUAAAGAGCGGAGCUUAACUCCGUUAGAGCGGUUGAAACUGAUUGACUAGAGCUUGGUAGGGGUCGAGGGAAUUCCCAGUGUAGCGGUGAAAUGCGUAGAUAUUGGGAAGAACACCGGUGGCGAAAGCGCUCGACUGGGCCUGAACUGACACUGAGGGACGAAAGCUAGGGGAGCGAAAGGGAUUAGAUACCCCUGUAGUCCUA